Molecule: small nuclear RNA, 103 nt
Organism: Peromyscus leucopus (white-footed mouse)
Lineage: Eukaryota; Metazoa; Chordata; Mammalia; Rodentia; Cricetidae
Source: RefSeq, a predicted model, not a curated record
GUGCCCGCUUCGGCAGCACAUAUACUAAAAACGGAAUGGUACAGAGAUUAGCACGGCCCCUGUGCAAGGUUGACACAAAAAUUAUGAAGCCUUCCCCACCAAA